CCGGCAAGGCGGACCAUAAAGAAUAUUUAGAAUUUCAAUACGCGAAAUAAGAAUAUUUGCAACAAUCGUAGAAAUCGACGUGUAAACCGAUUAAUUAAGUUUCGAGGAAGAGGCGUGUAUCGAAAGCACAGGAAUAAAUAAAAAUCGAUUUCAAAGUGACCGAUUGUUGAUAAAAAAAAGUCGAGGCUCUUCUUCCUUUUACCGGGUGGAACAAGGUGGAAAAAAGUUGCAUAAGCGAGAUUAAGCAAGGUCGUGUUACACACCGAUAUACCUGGGACGAUGCGGUUGGAACGAUGAUAAAUGUCAGCCAGGAUGCCGAAUAAGCGAACCAGGGACGAAGAUCUAGCGCUAACUAUAUUCACCUUGUCAAGUCAUUCCGACUUGGUAAACACACCACGACAAGUAAUGCCUAAGAUUUUACGGUGACUCGACUUACGACAGAAGCGGCUGUUUAUCACGGUGUCAGAGUGACGCUCGUGCCGUUCAAGACGAUAAAACGAAUGAGCUAUGCGAGGAACACUCUGAGAAAUGGUGUGCCGCUUUCGAGGACCUUUUGUUGCGACACUGAUUUUAAAUUAGAAUUUAUAGGGUGCCUGAAAACGUUUCGACGAGGCCACUGUAUUUACUCGAAGAAUACGUUUAUCCCGAUAAUCUUUUCCUCUCUCUCUCUCUCUCUCUCCUCCUCCUCGUUUUCGUCAACCGAUAUAAACCUGUCCACCGUGAAAAUUGUCACUGCAUCGAACGAAAUAAACUAGUAACGUAAUCGUUACCACUUUCGAUACGGCGACUCUUUAUUCGAAUUUUUAUUUGUUUCUCGAAAAUUUCCAAAAUUUCCUUUCCCUCCUCUCGAAAUAUCGAGUGGGACGGGAUCCGUGAUUUAUUUUCGUCGCACGGAUAUCGAAUCGAAACAACUGGCAACCGUUUGGCAGCGAUUUAGAGCGUGAAAAUUUCAAUCAUGUUACACAUUAGGGGCAUUCCAAUCAUCCGGAUCAGUCGUCGACGCGUUUUAAGCCGCGCAUCAAUCUGUUCGGUUCGAUCGAGGUGCGUCGCGAUGAAAAGACGAAUGCUUACGCGGAUAGGUGCUCUGGCCGCGCGCCAAUGCUGUGCCACCGCUGCGUUUAUUCCGGCCAACUGGUUCGUGCAACGCAUCCUUACCCUCUCCGCCUUUUAUUCCCCAACUGUUUCACCUUUAUUCGCAGCUUAUUCGUGUAUUAAACCUCCGAGAUCGAUGAAACUCCGUUUCGUUUCGUUUCCUUGUCGAAUAAAAUUAAUCAAUUAUUCGUUCUUUAAAGUAGAGAGGAAGGGAUAAAAAUAAAUCGUAUCCCGAAACGUAUUUAUAUAUUUCGAAACAACGUUUCGAAGCGUUUGAAAAUUAUCCAUUUGUUAUUACGUUACGCGCGCGAUUAUGAUGAAAUAUAAGAUGCAAUUUGUGGGACGCAUUAAUGCAAAUGACCCAAAUAUGACAGUUAACUGUUUAUAGGUCGCGAUAAAUAAUGGGCAUUUGUUAACGUGACAACGCGAACAUUAUAUGCAAGGAUCGAUGUACGGUUAGCUUAGCGUUCAUUUCUCUCCAUUAAUCACAUUCAUGAAAUCCAAGUGUGCCUAUGUAAUGGCCUAUUAAUAGGAUAUAAUGGCCAUUACGUUCGCUGACAUGCCACUUAUUGUCGGCGACUGAGUAAUGCGUUAAACGUGGGAUCAUACCCGACCAAAGUGUCACUUUUAUACAUUAGCCGAUAAAAAAUAUAUUUUAUAAAAACGACGAUACGUUGGACACGUGUUACAAAAUGUGUAUUCGAUCGAAAACACGUUCUUCUUCUAUCGUUCUUUAUCAUCGGCAUCGUUUUAAAAAUUAAACGAAAAUUGGCAAAGUUUCGAGAUUACUACAUCUUCUUUCCGUUUUAUUCCGCGGAUAGAGAAAUAUCCAUCCGUGGAUUAAAAGGAAAAAAAUCGAAAAAUCUCCGUUCGAUUUCGUUGGACAAACGAUCCAAGUCGUUUCGAUAGUUUUUUUUAUCCUUAUCACGCCACCACCACGCCACGUUUUCUCUUCGCGGCGUCGAGAAAUAUAACUCGAGCCAAGAAAGUGCAAACGAUAGAAGUCCUCACGCAGUAUCGAGAUCGCGAUAAAUUUUUCCGGGCGGUGGACGAGGGUGGCGGGCGUAUCUUCUUUCAGAAAAUUGUACGGCCGCUCGUAAAGAUAAGUACUUAAUUCCCUGUUUUGCCGGAAAUUGUUUUUCUCCGCAAAGGAGUCCAUUUCGCUUUAUGAAUCGCUCAGCCGACUUUACGCGACGAGUAAAAGCUUAACACCACCGCGAAAAGCUGUUCUCUCUCUCUCUUUACCCUCGGCUUUCCACCACCUGGUAUUCAAACUCGACGACUAUAUUUCCCCUCCUCCUCCUCCUCCUCCUCCUCUAUCUUUAUCCUUGCCUCUUUUUCUUCCUUUCCUUUCCUUUCUUUCUUUUUUUUUUUAUUACUAUUUUUCACGCUUCUUUAUAGAUUAUCAAGUUGUAUAAUCGCCUUCUCUAAUUAUUAUCUUUUGUAUUACAGCUAUCGUAAACUUGAAAUAACGUUACCCGUCAAACCGCUCCAAGCAAUCAUCGUAAAUUACAAAUAGCUGUAUUAUGCUUUCGUUGAUCGCGCACGGUUCUAAGAAACAUUUAGUAUCGUAUAUCACGUGGAACGAUGGUAGGUAGGUAGAUAGGUAGGUAGGUAGAUAGGUAGGUAGGUAGGUAGGUAGGUAGGUAGGUGAAAGUGAAGUCGAGGAACGUAUCCUUCUUCUUUCACCGACUAUAUCUUAAUAAUAUUUAUAAAAGCUCGAGAGAAGAAUAUUCGACUUUGGUGUAUCGUUGUAUUAUUACGACGUUGUACGGCGCGAGAAACGAAAGUAUAAUGGAAAAUUGAUCCGCUUUUCUCGAUUCUCGUCCUCCUACGGAUAAUAAUAAGAACGAUUGUUGGCAAGAAUCGAUGAAAGAAGAAAAGAAAGAAAGAAGAAAAAUGUCGGUUUCUUACUUGUUAAUGAGAAUACCGUGGAGUCCGGCAAGAAAAGGUGGAGAAUAUUUCUACGCACACAGGUUAUUUCCCGCAAGGUUUUGAAAUGCUUCCCCGUAAAACCGGCAAUCAGUCAGUGACUAAUGCUACAAGACUACGGUAGAAAGGCUUCGGUUCUUUGACGCGAGUACGCAUAGAAAUAAAGUGUCGAUGGAAACGAUGCUUGGCGUUGCACCGAGACAUUAAUAGCCUUUAGACACGGAGUAUUUUAUUGCCGGUAACCUUUCAGUACGUGCAAUCCACCAGUUCUGCAGCGUUGGCAACCGUUACCGUCCGAAGGUUCCACAGUUCCUUACAGGCAAAACGUCGGACGAUGCAUACUUAAUGAGCGACUCAAUACCAUGCUUUCUUAAUGCAUGUCGAUUCGAGUAAUUAAUUAUUAUGCCUGACACACGUGAAAUAAGUGUUUGACGUCGGUAUAAAAUUCAUCUAAAUCACUCACGAUUGAUUUCUACGAGUCACGCAUUACCAAUGAUACUACGUCAUUUUAGAUUUACACCACUCUCGGUGUAUAUCGAAAAUUAAAUGUUUACUCGAUUAUUACGCCGUACGCCACUUUUCCUUCGUAUAUAUUAUCCAUCUCGUUAAAUCACUCGGAAUAUCCAUCUAUUACCCAGCGAUGAAAUCUUCGUAAUUGGGCAUAGCAUACAUGCCUGCUUUUCUCUCUUUCUUUUUUUUCCACAAACCUAUUUUUCCUCUUCCUCCUUGUUCUUUUUUUUUUUUUUUUUCGAAUCGACGAUCUCCUCCCUGAAUCUAGCGUGGACCGCUAGAUGUGUCGAAUGGAAAAUCCAAAGAUUCCUCGUACGUUUCGUUCGAGCUUCGAUCAAACGAAGAGGUAUCCCCGGUAAUUGGACGUUAACGAAUAAAGAUAAUACGUGUAAUAAUAUAUACGAUACGCGCGCGGUUAAUUUUUAAUUAAAACCAGCCUUUGCAUCUCGUUAAUUUAUAUAUAUAUAUACACACGUUUAUUAUCGUUUUCUCAUCGUUCGUAUUCCACGUGACUGGUAUCGUCUUAUAUCGUACACGCUCUAUUAAUUUCUUAAAGGACGGUAAGAUAGUUUGUCUCGUAUUACACGAUUCGUAAUGAUAUACCCGCUUGUCCGAUACGUGUUAAAAGCGGUAAUUCAUUUUCACCGUGGUCUUUUUCUCUCGAAAAUCUUCAUCAAGCACGCCAACUUUCUCGUAUAUAUAAAGUAUAUAUAAAGAAAAUACGGAUAAAUAGAUCAUCGUGCAUUUACGCUGCCACUCGUGACAGGAAUUAUGAAUAAAUUUCGAAAUAACCUGUUAUUAACAUCUAUUAAUCAUCGGCUUCCGUGACGUUGACGUUCGUUCCUACCAACAUAAUUGCACCACCGAUGUGUUUAACCGAAAGAUAAAGAUCGAGAGAUAUUACGUAACGCGCUUCGUUAUUUCUUUAUACACCUCGAUCCUCCCCCCUUUUUACUUACUUCGAACGAAACGUGGAAACGCGUCUCGGACAUUUCUUUCUCGAAACAACGAUACGAUACGCCUGUCGCUGUGGAAAACACGCGACAAUUUAUUCGCAAGUGGAAUAAUAUACGCGUUUCACGCGUAAUCACACGCGUGAAGUUAGCUAAACUCCGACUAAUCUAGGAUCGUACGAGUUGGUAAACGAUUGUAUAUAAUACGAUUCGAUCGACGAAAUUUGUACAAUUGAAGAAUUUUCGAUAUGGAUAAAUAGUUAUUUACCUUGCGCGAUAUGUCUCGUGUAUUUAUAGUUGGGAACGUUGACGUAUUACACGCGGCCAUUAAUGGUGAAAAUGUCACAAAGAGAUUUAUCGAACGUUAUUUACCAUUAUUGUUGUGGAUAUAGUUGUCGCGGUGGACGGAUAGCGUGGAUGGUAUCGCGAGGAAAAACUCGUGGCUCCAUCACUCAUUUCGCGCUACGCGUCAUACGUGUUACAAAAUCCUUCGUAAACAUUUAUCCCCGGUGAUGGUUUUUCCGAUGUUGGACGGAGUUUUCGUUCAGAAGUAAAGAGGGAGAAAGAAAGAAAGAGAGGAAGAAGAAUGGAGCAUUCGAAUGAUCGAAAAGAAAAGGAGAGAGAGAGAGAGAGAGAGAGAUGGAAGAGGAAAAAGCGGUGCAGACGGAAGCAGAGGUUCGGCGGCGCGCGAUAAAUUAAUGGGCGGUCGUCAUUGCGCUCAUACACGGCUCGUACAGGCAUGCGGACACAUCGUAACGCAUCGUUUGUCUUCUCAUUAUAAAUGUGAGCCACCGCUCUACCGCACCGGUGACAGUCGGCCGAAAUAAAUUGCCACGCGUUACGUUUGUACUUUCGUUUUAUAUUUAAAACGACUACACAGGGGAAGGCUCGUGCGGUCCCACCGCCUCCAGACAAAUUGCCCAUUUGCAUAAUGCCGUUAUUUAUUAAUGAUCGCGAUACAGCCACUUCCGAUCCUACAUAAAUACCCACCUGCGGCGUCGGCCAAUCGACACAACCUUCUAAUUCGACGCCCGCUCCACAAAUUUAUAUUACCGAUUCGUUCCUCCUAUUAUUUCCACCUUUGAAACGCGCAUCCUUUCCAACUCACGAUCCCUUUCUCGUUCUCGACACCGAUUAAUAAACAACAAUAUUCGCGAGGAUGAGAAGAAAUAUUUCGUAUCGAAUGAAACGCGUGAUCGAAAGGAACAAAGUUUUGCUUAGCAAUAGAACGCAUUAUUUUCUAUGUAAAACGGAUCAAUGAAAUAAUAAAUCGAAGAAGAAGAAGAAGAAGACGAAUGGAAAAGCGCGCACGAAUAAUUUCGAAAGUUUUUUUCCUUUUGCGAAUUUUUCUUCGUUCCUCAUCGAGGAUUUAUGUCGACGAGUUUCACGUACAACGGGUUUUCGUACGAAUAUCGUAGCCUGUGUCAGCUUCCUGGUUACGCGAAUUAUAUAUAUCGAUAACAGAACGAGCAUCUGGACACGUGGAAAAAGAAGAUCGAAGGCAUAAACGCGAAAAACCUGUUCGUUAAAUGUAACGCAUCGCGUGUCGUUCGAGGAGAUCGGGCAGAAGAAAUAUGAAAUGGGACGAGUAUUUAUGGCGAAGAAAGAGAGAGAAGAAAGAGAGAGAGAGAGCGUUGCAAAAAAGGUGUACGGGUACGCGAUGGUUGAUAUAAUGGGUAAACGAAAGGAGAAUGGCGAAGGGAAAGAAAAGGCGAAAUGUAAAAUAUCGAGGAAGGAGUGGAGUGUACGUACGAGUGUCGGAGUUUGCGCGACUUGGUGGCGUAACCAAGAUAUACGACCGUUUUCCCCCAAAAAAGUGUUAAGGAAUUAUGCUUCGCGGAGUAAAUGAGAUGUGUCUGCGCCGGGACAUAGAUCACGGCCGCGCUAUCCGUUCUCACCACCGUGGAAAUAAAUACGAUUUUCUCGACGGCGAAAGAGACUAGGGUUUGGAAAGGAGGAGGAAAGGAGGUGGUGGCAGUUGGAACGGAGCAAGCGGAUGGAGCGAGAGGAUGGCACGAGUCGGAAGGGGAUAGGAGAAUAGGUCUCCUAGCGGGCCGCAUCCCGCGCCACAUCUUUCUACCCGACACACGAGGGAUCCAACGUAGCCAUUUCUCUGCCCCGUUAUACGCCUCCUAUAUACGUAUCUACUACCCCCCCAACACCUACCUACACCCGGCAAAUAAAUUGAUCCAUUACUCAACCGAGCAGUCAUCUUCCUUCCUUUCCCUCCCUUCGCUCUUCUCUCGCCGCCGUCGCCGCCGUCGUCGCCACUACCACCAUCACCACUACUACCGCCACCACCACCGCCCUUUUUCCUUCGCGCUUUUCCGGGAAUGCUGCCAGAGAUUCGGCAAAGCCCCUUUCACGCCCUGUUGCAGAGACGAUGAUACGCCGCGAUUUACUCACCCGAGUCCGUCUCUUCUCACCCACGGAACCGGGAAACCGGGAAAUUGAUGCCACUUCCAAAGGAUUCACCGCCGUCUUAUGCCAAUUUAUUCCGUAUCAUCUCGAUUUCACCUAUAUUCGAAUUAAUCUUUCCUUCCACCGGGAUCUCUCUCUUAAAAUUGUGAUCAAUUUGUCGCAAAAAGUUGCAUCGACUUCACCCUUUUGCUCUAAGAUGUGACGAUCCUGUUAAACAGUUGAGAGUGGAUUCGCGGAAAAUGAAUUUUGCUGAUUCGAAUUAAGAAAGUAAUGGAUCGAGAUCGCGUCUCGGUCGGUAACUAAUGUAUCCGUCGAUGUCCUCCUCGGCCACGUUUCAUUAUCCGGGCUUAGUUUUCUGUUGCUCGCAAUCAACAUCCGGAUCAUGUUUUAACGACUAUUUCGCGUGUGUAAAUUGGUAUAUAAUUCAGUCUCGCUACAUGAUUUUCCUUGUGCUGAUGAAAUGACUUACCGCUUUCAUUGUUACAUACGUCCAUCCGCGUUGGUUAAUUAAACAAGAGAUUAAUUAACGCGCUUCGAAUUUCCUGUUUUAUACAAUUGCUAAUUUGUAAAAUAUCAAACCGCGACUCGUUAUCUCGGUGGAACCGAGAGAGAUGCUUUCAAGCUUCGUUGCUCGAAAUAAAGUAUCAAACUUUUUUAACUCCGGGGUAUACCUGAUACCUUUUAAAUAAUACUCGCCCGAUGAUUUACGGAUUCUCUUACGGAUAUAUUUUAAUCUUAAUUAUCGUUUCGCACAAUUUCGAACACACCGAACACGAAUUCUCUCGAUAUUUCUUAUUAUCUCGCGUUUCUCUCGAAAAAAGGAGGGAGAGAGAGAGAGAGAGAGAGAGAGAGGAAAAAAAGAAGCAUAAACAUCAUACGCGUCAAUUUGCAUAUUUAAACGUCGAAUAAAUUUAAAUAAUCGGCCUCUUUGGAAAACCAAUUAUCGUUAUUUCUUUUUUUUCUCUCUCCCUCUCUCUCUCUUUUUUUUUAUUUUUCGCGUUAAUAUCACGAUCCCGCGUUAUUUAUUGUGCACGUAUAUAUCCACGGAUUGGAAUAAUUUAACAGGGAAUAGAAAGCAAAUGGAUGGAAUAAUAAUUUUUUUCCCCGAUUCGCGCGUAAAAUUAUUAUCCUCCCCCCCCCCCCCUCUCUCUUUCCCUAUUCUUUUUUAUCGAACGACCACUAUCGAACGAUUAAACCUGUAGCUGUUUGCAUAUCCGGUUUAUGUUUCAAUCUGGUUCCAUCAAUAUGAAUAAACACCGGCAUGUGAGGUAGCUCGGCGCUGCAUUAAUAUGUAUUGGCAAUAAAUCGAUAUCGAUAAUUAAAAUCUGUGCCUGCCAUAAGGCCUUUGGACGUGAGCGCGUUUAUAUAAAAGUUCAAUUUGUUAUAUGUAACUGCGCGAGAGAUGACUAUAAAUAUUGCGUUACCCUUUUUAACCGGGGCUCGUAAAUCCCCGUGAUUUAUAUCCCCCCCCCCCUCCCCUCCCUCCCGUUGACUGUCCGUAAAGCGUGUGAAGGGGUCGAGGUUUUACGUAUCGUUGCACGUAUCGUCCCACGAUUUUCAUAUUUCUUCCCGCCAGAGACAAAAGCCAGUUUUCGUUUUCCGUUUAAUUUACGCGAUCGAUGAUAACGCGCGAACGUCAACGCGCAUUUACACACCGCGAGAUAAAUACCGCGAGAAACGUGAUCAUCACCGUCCAAUUAAUCCCGUACGUAUAUAUAAUUCCAAGAUCGAAAAUGGAUUCGCGCCGACCCAAGUUUAAAUCUGUCACGAAUCGAAACUUUUCAAUUUCCCUCUCCGUCUCUCUUUUAUUUAGGAAUAUCGAGCUGAUAAUUAAGGAUAAUUAAGGUAAAGGAGAAAUGAAUUCUUCGCAGGAUGGAUACGGAUAUUGGAUAUCGUGGGUGGGGCGAAAAAAUAUUUUCGCAGGCAGAUGCGUUGUAACGGGGCCAACGAGUUUGAACAUCAGUCACGAAAAAGAGAGAUUAAAAAAAGGAGGUAGGAGAGAAGACGAAAAAAGUCCGGGAGAUGGGUUGUCCGAAUGAGUGGGUUGAGCGAGUGAAUGACAGAUAGACAGCAACCAGACAGGAGACUGACAGUACGGCGGCGGGCUGACAGCUUGCCACUCUGCCGGCCGUUCGCAACAUCCAGUAUUACCGACUACCGUACGUGUUGAUCCUUGUCCCAUUCAUCGACAAAAAGCGAACCAACCCCCGAUUUCGUCCCAUCUCCCUCUCUCUUUCUCUCUCUCUCUCUCCAGGAUCGAUGAUCAUUUUUCAGGGAACAACCAUCGCCAACACCAGCUCGCUCCAGUUUUGUUAUUAAUAAUAUCUAUCUCUAUCUCUAUCCAUUUCCAUUUACGAGUAUUUUUUCUAUUUCCAUCGUACGAUCGCUCGAAACAAAUAUCGUCUCCUUGAGGAUUGAAACGAAAAGGAAUCGGAAAGUCGGUAUUAAAAGAUAUUAAUCUGGAGCUCGCGUAAAAUGAAUUACAGGAUUCGUUAGGGAGGCGUUAUCGUUGAAUAGGAGCGGCAGUUCCAAGAAAGUACGAAUUACUGUCAAAAGUAAACCAAAGUAGGGUAUACUUAUGACUACAAAUUAAGUAUAAUUCCGACGGUCGUAAUAACGUAACAACGGGCCGCUACGUAAUUAUUCGGCGUAAUCGGCAACAGCCCGGAGCGGUGUACUUUAACUACCUUUUAAAAUUGCGCUUAAAUUACAGUACAUACGAUAUUUGAGGAAUAUCAUUCACGUGCACGCCGCUAAAUAUAUUUUCACGUACGGAGGAAGGUGUUUGGGAUAUCGCGUUGAAAACACCGCGUGUGCACGUUUCGUUCGAGAUAAAUUAAAUGAAUCGCUGUGUAAAAAAAGAAUUUGCCGUAUUUUCAACAUAUUGCGUACGUUCCUCCUGUAUAUUUACCGUCCUUAUCCUUAGAUAAUCCAUCUAUUCACCUUUCUUUUUUCAACCGAACGUGUAAAUAAAUCUUACCGAGAGAUAUCCAUCGUCGAGAGAGAGAGAGAGAGAGAGAGUUUGUAAGCGAAGGAGGGAAAAGGAGGAAAAAGUAGUUGGACGAAUUCACGACGGAAGUUCUCGCGAUGAUGCGAGUGAGAAUAAUUAAUCAACGUUCGCUAGAAACGUACGUAUAUAAUUACGUUGGAGGAGAGGAGGGGGGGGGGGGCAAAACGUCGCAACCGAUUUAAUCGGUUACUCGCGAUCACGCUUGUUAGAGUUUACGAGGAAACGGAAGUACAAAAAACUCGCAAAUUAUGAAGAUAAACAUGCAGCCCGUACGUAAAAAAGAUUAUUAUCUCCUUUUCCACUCUUGCGUCUUGCUUUUCGUUAAAACUUGAUUUAUACUUUCUUUCGAAUAUGAGAUGCGAGAUUACCAUUAGAUAUCGUAAUUAUUGCUGAAUUAUUUUCCGCUUUACGUGUCAAUUAUAAUAACACGAUAUUUAUUCUUUCGAUUAAAUAUUUACGCCAGUUUGAAACUUAACGCGCUCGUUAAAAAAUAAAAAAAGAAAAGAAAAAUAAUAAUAACAACAACAACGUUUGUUUAACGUUAAUUAAAAGAAAGAGAGAGAGAGAGAAAAGAGAAGAAACGUUUAAUUUUCGAGGUCACGCGAGUUUCGUUACGGCUACAAAUCAUUCAACGCGUUAUUAUUCCUUGUUUCGUUAUUAUUCGCUAUAUUUUAACGAACGCGUUAUAUAUUCCCGAAAUAUACCUUUCUUUCGUCCCCACUUUUUUCUCUGCAACUUGGAUUUAUAACAAAUUUACAAAAUACACGAAUACAAGAAGAUUCGACUGCAGAUUUAUCAUUUCGCACAAACCGAUGACGUUAUAAUUGGAAAGGAAGAAAGCGAAGCGUUGCGAAACGACGACGACGACGGACGAGUCGAAGCUCGAAAAGCGGAGGAAACGAGAAUGGAAAGGAAACGGGGAAAUAAACGCAGGAGCUUAGAGGGAGGCGGCGAAGGAGAGGCGAAGCGGGCGCCGCGCGUCUCCCCCUUUUCCUCGCCGUGGCGUGCACACACACACACACACACACACACACACACACACACGUCUCUUCUCUUCUCUUCUCUCCUCCGCUCGCUAGGCAGGUGAGCAGCUCUCCGUUGGCUGUUCGUGGUGCGGGUUACCAUUAUGUCUACAACCUUGAAUUAAAAUGCCGUAUAAUGACACAGCUAGGCAGCCUGUAUAAUUUAUGUCCAUAAAAAUAAAAUCAUAAUUACAGAGGCGCGGACUGCGAAAAGACGGUAAUAAUAUGGCUGGCCGGUGUGCUCGUUGCGUGCUCAGCGCGUGUAUAUCGCGUUCGUUCCUUCGUUCCUCGAUGCUUCUCGCUCUCGUUAUUGUUACCGUUCCCGUUAUUCCGCUCCGUGUCGCAAUGCGUUUUGCGUUUUCGCGCACAGAUGCGAUAACAGGAUCGAUUAGAUGGGGAAAAAUGGGAUGUCGUUACGCGUGUCUGUCGCGAUAUCUGCGAACGCGUGAGAAAGAUAAGAAAGAAAGACAGGAGAAAAGAAGAAAAAGAUGAAUAUGUAUAUAUAUAUAUAUCGAGCGGAGGAGAGGAAAAUUAAUAAACGCGGAGGGGAAAAAUUAAUGGCGGCGAAAACUUGGGUUCGACGACAUUAAUCUUACGUGGCAAAGUGGGAAGGACGGUUGGGCUUUUCCAACUACGCGGCCAGAAAGAAAUCGUUUCAGCUCCGUUUCUCACCGUCCGCUCGUAGCGCGAAUCGUCAUGAGACUCUGAAACGCGAACGGAAAGGCGAUGCGAGAUCGCGUUGAUGAAUGCCCCCAUUACACGAACACCGCUAGUUACUCCUCGGAGAUAAACCGCCUUCAUUACUCACUUUCUGGCGUGACCUUAUUCCCCCCUACGGCCUCUCUCUCUCUCUCUCUCUCUCUCUCCUCCCUCUCCUACCUCCCUCCCUCCCUCCCUCCCCUCUACCCGCCUUCUUUCCAACGCUCGCUCUCCAUCCUUGCCUCUCUCACGGCUAUUAAGUUAACGCGAAUUAAUAACGCAGGCUUUUUCUAGUCAACAGCCGUUUUCUUGCGCCGAUAUACAGGUAUUUUAGCGGAUAAUAAAUUUUCACCUCGGGGGAAUAUAUAUAAUCCCCGCGAUGCGAAAGCGCAAGCAUCAAGGGAUGGCGCACUACUACCACUCUUAACAGAUUGGAUCGUUUGUCUUUCCUUUCGGGUCUUGCCCCGAACAACUGCGUUACGUUAUAGAUACGUAUAUUAAUGCGACGAUGCAAUUAUCAGUGGGUAGGUAGACACGACCUACUUUGUCUUUUUUUUUUACCGUUCGUUACACGGCUACGCGAUCAUUUUUCAACUUCUGAUUUACGGCUUGAUUAUCGAGAAGCGGAAAGUUUAUCGGUAUUCGUUAACGAGAGAGGUAAGCCGAUAAAUUUCCAAACGAUCGCCGAACGGCAAAACCGCUUUGCGACUUUCUUGCAGGAUCGAAACUGUACGAGUGUUCUUCUAACUUCUAACUUUUGUUUUUGAAAUCGCGCUUUAUUUUUCGAAUUUUAUUCUUACUUUUCUCUCUCUUUCUUUCUCCUCUUUGCUAAAAUAAUUAAUCACGAAGCUAGGAAGGGUAUCUCUGUUUUCCUUUCACGAUCAUCUUAUGUUCAGAGGAAACGAAAUUGUACCAAGUUUACGAAAUUUAUUCGUUUCGCAUUCUAAAUUCGCGCGCAUUUGUCAAUAUCGUUCAAAUAAAUAUCGGGCAAUUACGCUUAAUGGGUCACGAUACGAGUUUAAUGAAACCAGUACACGCUUAAUUGGAUAUUAAAUUAACGACCACGACGUGUGAAUCAAACAAAACACUGUAAAUCCGGUUAAAAGAGAAAUGAUAAUUUAUGUCUCGCUAGUGUAUUUUUGCGAUAAAUUAAUAUAUAUAUAUAUAUAUAUAUAUUUUUUUUAAUACCUCAUCGAUGCUUGCACUUUGAGAUAAUUCAUAGAUUAUUUACGAGCGAGCCUUUUCUUUUCAAAAAAGAAAAAGGAAACAGGAAGGGAAGAAAUUGGUAUUUAUCGAUACAUCUCGUAUAAACAAGAGUACCGAUAUAAUUAUACGAUAUAAUUACAAGGUUCCCGAAGAAAAAUUGUAUCCAUUUUCUUCUCCUCGUUUUAUUUUACAUCGAUACGUAUUAAUUACGUCGUUUAGCAUUUAACGUUUUCGAGUUUAGCCGUUCACAAAGAUCGUUCGCGCCUUUUCCCUUAUGAAUAUUUAUUCCCAUGAAUUUUCAUAAUUAUCGCUGGCGAUAAUUUAAUAAUAACGGCCAAUUAAUUACGAUCAGACCGUAGCAAUAUAAUCGGAUCAAGAUCUGUAUCCGCGAGGCAUAAAAUACACAUAUAUAUACAAUUUCGAUAUAUAUUUUCGAAAAACUCUCGCUCUUCCUUAAUAUCCUUUUCCCCGUUAUAAGGAGAGAGAAAGAGAAAGAGAGAGGGAAGGAUUUGGAAUCGCGAUAACGAAGAUAAAAUCGCGGGUAACGCGCGUGCGCGUCGCGUCUACCACGGAAUAUGCAAGAAUAUUUAACACGGGAGGGGGAUAGGGUAGGGAAUGGGAUGGCCGCAGAAAGAAUAUUUAACACGGCGCGGCGUGGCGCGACGUCGCGCAUACCCGUCCAUCUUCAUACGUCGUAGGUUACACGGUUACAUUAGUAGGAAUGUCACGAUAACGAACGCCGGUACACCGUCAGCGGUGGAGACGUCUUCCUGUUUCUGGGGGAGUGGGGCGGCGCGGGCGCUGCGUGGCGCGAAUCCCCGAGCCACGUCGGCCUUCUUUCGCCCUACGCCACUGCCUGUAUCCGAUAUUCCAGCCACGACCGCGAAAAACAAAACGCGCAGGGGAAUACGUUCCCCGCAUAUGCGUCUCGCGUGUUUCGCUCGCUGGAUUCAUUUUGGCCGGGACAUUCCGCUGUCACCGCGACGUUAUCGACCAUCGGUAAAACGUUUCGCCCGAUCGAUAAACCAUGAAUCCGCAAUUUACGGGAAACGCGAGCGAUUCGUUUGCGCACCCGCACCUUUUUUUUUUUCCCCCUUUUGUUCCGAUCGACGUGCAUAUUUUCCUCUCGUCUAAAAUAUAUGAAAAAAUAUUUCAGUACAGGCAGCGUAGCAAUGGAGAAGAAAAGACGAAUACGAGAUAUAUACGGAUACAGUAUUCGAUUCUCGUUCGACGCCAAUGCGGAAAGAGAGAGAGAGAGAGAGAGAGGGCAGGAGUAGAGUCGAAAUGGAAUAAACUAACCGUCGUUUUCCUGACGACAGGCGAUACGUCACUGUGACCAAUUCACAAUAGAGCAUUACACCCCGAGACCGGGACGACAAUAGUUAUCUCCGGGAUGUACGAACGUGUAGGUGGUUAUUAUUCGCACGCGCACACGUGUCACCGGAGCGACGGCGACAAGUAGCGGCAUUGGCGCUGCUUGAAACGCGAGUUUCGAGUAGCCGUUGCGGAAGCACCUCGACACACCGAGCUUCGCUCAAUUACCGUCCCACUUAAUGCACUCGCGCGGUGAUUCACCGCGUGCCACCCUCUCCUCCCUUCCCUCUUCGUCUUCCGUUCCGAAACCGGGUAAUUUUUCAUAUUCGCGUCUCUUUCACCUCUUCCUUAAUUCCAAUUAGACUCGUUGCUAAUUACCGCUCCGAUUACCAUCAUCGCCGAUGUAUAAA
RNAcentral lists this long non-coding RNA (14569 nucleotides) under Apis mellifera (honey bee). Its description in RNAcentral is "uncharacterized LOC107965076, transcript variant X2". The record is from RNAcentral. Lineage: Eukaryota; Metazoa; Arthropoda; Insecta; Hymenoptera; Apidae.